This 1284-nucleotide long non-coding RNA is filed under the name Chrysemys picta bellii (western painted turtle). RNAcentral's name for it is "lncRNA (ENSCPBG00000013047.1)". Lineage: Eukaryota; Metazoa; Chordata; Testudines; Emydidae. The record is from RNAcentral.
UCACUAGGAGGGUGGUGAAGCACUGGAAUGGGUUACCUAGGGAGGUGGUGGAAUCUCCAUCAGAAGAGGUUUUUAAGGCCUGGCUUGACAAAGCCCUGGCUGGGAUGAUUUAGUUGGUGUUGGUCCUGCUUUGAGCAGGGGAUUAAACUAGAUGACCUCCUGAUGUCUCUUCCAACCCUAAUCUUCUAUGAUUCUAUGAUUAUCUCCCAUAAAUGUAAACAGACUUCUUUGUCUUAGCGAUUGGCUGAACAAAAAGUAGGACUGAAUGGACUUCUAAGCGCUAAAAUUUUACAUUGUUUUAUUUUUGAGUUCAGUUAUGUAACAAAAAAAACUACAUUGGCAAAUUACACUUUCAUGAUAAAGAGAUUGCACUACAGUACGUGCAUAAGGUGAACUGAAAAAUACCAUUUCUUUUGUUUAUCAUUUUUACAGUGCAAUUAUUUGUAAUAAAAAAUAAUAAUAUAAAGUGAUCACUGUACACUUUGUAUUCUGCGUUGUAAUAGAAAUAAAUAUAUUUGCAAAUGUAGAAAAACAUCCAAAAUAUGUAAUAAAUUUCAAUUGGUAUUCUAUUGUUUAAUAGUGUAAUUAAUCAUGAUUAAGUUUUUUAAUGGUGAUUAAUUUUUUUGAGUUAAUCGCGUGAGUUAACUGCAAAUAAUCGAUAGCCCUAUUUCAGGCCUUAAAAUCUACGAAUCUGUGAAGGAGGGGUGGGGACUGUUGGGUAUCUGAGGAUAUUAAGGCCAGGGGAAGCCAUGACAGUGGGUCUCACAUGGUGACAGAUGCACUGAAAACACCUAGAUGGACACAGUGAGAGGUUGGACCGGGCAUUGUCUGUGGCAUUUGGCCCAUGGUACAUUCUGAUGGUUUUAAAGGAGACAUGCAUAAUUAAAAUAACCCACCCUGAGUAACCGUCUCUGUUCCUUCCUGGUAGGUGGCGACGCAGCAGUCUCGGUGCUGAUUGUCCAGAAAAUGGCAGAAGAGAGCGCCGAAGCGACAAGCGAUACCAGUAGAGGGGUUAAUGACUCAAUGCUGCCGGGUCACGGACAAGUGGAAGAAAGGAGAAGAGAUGUGGGUAAAUAAUUAUUUAUUAGGCACAAUAUGGUAACAUCUAGAGACAGCAGCUGAGCCCCAUUGCGUGCUGCACAGACCCAGAGGGAGAGACAGUCCCUGCCCCAGCUGAGAUUAGGUCCCCAUUGUUCUGGGCGCUGCACAAACACACAGCAAGAGAGUGGGCUGUAGUCCACGAAAGCUUAUGCUCUAAUAAAUUCGUUAGUCUCUAAGGUGCCA